UUUGGUGAUGAUGGCAGAGAGGUCACACCCGUUCCCAUACCGAACACGGAAGUUAAGCUCUCUAGCGCCGAUGGUAGUUGGGACCUUGUCCCUGUGAGAGUAGGACGUCGCCAAGG
Molecule: ribosomal RNA, 116 nt
Filed under: Bacillus sp. ABP14
Lineage: Bacteria; Bacillati; Bacillota; Bacilli; Caryophanales; Bacillaceae
Source: RNAcentral